UCGGCGUCCGCGCCGCCGGAUAACCGUAGUAAUUCUAGGGCUAAUACGUGCGAAGCGCCGAAGCCGCGAGGCGACGGCGUUCUCGCCGGAUGUAGGAACCGACCCGGGGGACCGCCGGGGGCAACCCGGCGCCCCCGAGACGGGGCGAACCACGGUGAAAUGACGGAUCGUCGGCCCCGCGCCGGCGACUCGCCGAAUGAGUUUCUGACCUAUCAACUCGAGACGGCGGGGUAGAGGCCCGCCGCGGUAACGACGGGUAACGGGGAAUCAGGGUUCGAUUCCGGAGAGGGAGCCCCGAGAAACGGCUACCACUUCCAAGGAAGGCAGCAGGCGCGCAACUUACCCUAAUCUCGAUUCGAGGAGGUAGUGACAAGAAAUACCGAUGCGGGACCCUACGGGUGCCGCGUUCGGAAUGAGUACGAUUCGAACCACCUAACGAGGAACGUUCGGAGGGCAAGUCUGGUGCCAGCAGCCGCGGUAAUUCCAGCUCCAAUAGCGUACGUUAAAGUUGCUGCAG
Molecule: ribosomal RNA, 517 nt
Filed under: uncultured eukaryote
Lineage: Eukaryota
Description: bacterial SSU rRNA
Rfam family: Eukaryotic small subunit ribosomal RNA
Source: RNAcentral